Molecule: long non-coding RNA, 518 nt
Organism: Cornus florida
Lineage: Eukaryota; Viridiplantae; Streptophyta; Magnoliopsida; Cornales; Cornaceae
Exons: 3
Source: RefSeq, a predicted model, not a curated record
GAAAACAUAAGGUCUCAAACUCAAGGAUCAGAAGGAGCAGGAACUUCUGGUGUUACACAACAGUCCCAAACUGCUAGGAUAUGUGGAAGAAAUGUAAGUGCAAGAGGUGGAAGAAAUGUACAUGCAAGAGGAGCUUCUCAACCAAAUGUGAGUGGCAUUGGUGGUGGUUCUCGAUAAAAUGUGAGUGGUAGCAGAGUUGGAAGACAGCCAAACCAGAGUGGCAUCAGAGGUGGAAGACAGCCAAGUGAGAGUGGUAUUGGUGUUAAUCCUCCGCCAUGGAGAGAGUAGCAAAAGCAGUAGUACCAAGGAAAAAAACACAACAGCGAGCUGGUUUUAGAGAGGGUAACUAGCAGUUGGAGGCUCCUUUGGGUUUUAUUCACCAUACAACAGUGAGGAUUUUUUUAUGACCUACUUUGUUUGAAACUUGUAAGUUUGUGGUUGACAAAGGUUAUGUUUGUAAGUUUGUGGUUGACAAUGGUUAUGUUUUUUUUUUUUUUUUUUUUUUUUUUUUUUUUUUU